GGCUCUCCUCCCCCAACUCCUUCCAGGCCAGGGAGGCUGCGUGGCCCUCACCCAUGUCUCCCGCUGCGGGAAACUGCCACCUCGGCCUGGGAUCCUUUCCAAGAAGAGUCUGGAGAUUUCACAAAGCCCUCUGAACAACAAAAGUUGCAGAAGAUUCUCCUGAAGAGAACUCCAGGACACAGGAGCCCCAGUGCUUCAGGAAGAAUCCAGGUUAGCUGAGGUGGAAGCUUCAAUGACAGGGGGCUAAGGCGGAAGCGUGAUGACUUGGGAGAUUAAGGGGAGGCUGAUUAAAGGUUAUGAAGACACUAUGACCAGGAGUGAGGUGGGGGCUCAAUGCAUGGCUGGAGGAGACAGAUGGAAUGACUAGACCAAGAGUGAGGACAAGAUGACCAGGCAGCGCAACUGCCAGGUGGACAGACGUGAGGAAAGAGGCUGGCCCAGGUUCCUCUUACAGCUUGGAUCAAGUCCAAUUGCCCUCAGCAAGCCUGGGAUCUAGUCUAAUCCACUGCCUUGUUUGGGGAUACCCCAACUCACAGCAUUCCCACACACACUUUGAUGGGGAGCUCACUACCUGCUGGCAACACAACCAGUACCUUCCAUUCCCACUGACCUCUCAUGGGGAAUGAACAUUGACCCCAGGAGGCCAGGACCAUGCUUCCAGCAACAUCUCAGAGAUAUCCCUGGCCACUGUGUCCGACGGCAGCAUUCCAGGACUGGGUAGGUCAUCACAGCCCCCUGCAUCCAUCCCCUCUUUU
Symphalangus syndactylus (siamang) is the source of this 755-nucleotide long non-coding RNA. RefSeq lists it as uncharacterized. NCBI's taxonomy places the organism in Eukaryota, Metazoa, Chordata, Mammalia, Primates, Hylobatidae. The record is from RefSeq and is a predicted model, not a curated record.